This 491-nucleotide ribosomal RNA is filed under the name uncultured bacterium. RNAcentral describes it as "partial 16S ribosomal RNA". It matches the Rfam family "Bacterial small subunit ribosomal RNA", at positions 29 to 506 of the family's 1533-position model. The record is from RNAcentral.
AGUGAACGCUGGCGGUAGGCCUAACACAUGCAAGUCGAACGGCAGCACAGUAAGAGCUUGCUCUUACGGGUGGCGAGUGGCGGAUGGGUGAGGAAUACAUCGGAAUCUACUUUUUCGUGGGGGAUAACGUAGGGAAACUUACGCUAAUACCGCAUACGACCUACGGGGGAAAUCAGGGGAUCUUCGGACCUUGCGCGAUCGAAUGAGCCGAUGUCGGAUUAGCUAGUUGGCGGGGUAACGGCCCACCAAGGCGACGAUCCGUAGCUGGUCUGAGAGGAUGAUCCGCCCCACUGGAAGUGAAACGCGGCACAGACUCCGACGGGAGGCAGCAGCGGCGAAGAUUGGCAGCAGGGCGGAAGCCUGAACCAGCCAUGCCGGGUGGGUGAAGAAGGCCUUCGGGUUGGAAAGCCCUUUUGUUGGGAAAGAAAAGCAGCAGGUUAAUACACCGCUGUUCUGAGGGUACCGAAAGAAUAAGCACCGGCUAACUUCGG